AUACGGAGGGUGCGAGCGUUAAUCGGAAUUACUGGGCGUAAAGCGCGCGUAGGCGGCUAGAUCAGUCGGAUGUGAAAGCCCUGGGCUUAACCUGGGAACUGCAUUUGAUACUGCUGAACUAGAGUAUGGUAGAGGGAAGUGGAAUUCCGGGUGUAGCGGUGAAAUGCGUAGAUAUCCGGAGGAACACCAGUGGCGAAGGCGACUUCCUGGACCAAUACUGACGCUGAGGUGCGAAAGCGUGGGGAGCAAACGGGAUUAGAAACCCCAGUAGUCC
This 274-nucleotide ribosomal RNA is filed under the name uncultured bacterium. Its description in RNAcentral is "partial 16S ribosomal RNA". It matches the Rfam family "Bacterial small subunit ribosomal RNA", at positions 523 to 796 of the family's 1533-position model. The record is from RNAcentral.